Arachis stenosperma is the source of this 11811-nucleotide long non-coding RNA. RefSeq lists it as uncharacterized. The transcript has 4 exons. The record is from RefSeq and is a predicted model, not a curated record. Lineage: Eukaryota; Viridiplantae; Streptophyta; Magnoliopsida; Fabales; Fabaceae.
UUUGAAUUAUGAAUGCGUUGGUGUAACGGUUUCGGUUUCGGUUUCCACUCUAUCUUUAAGCUAAUUCUACCCUUUCUCUUUUUUGUGAAUAUUUGCUUUAAUCUUCUUCGUCUUCGUUAUUCUUUCAAGAUUUCACCCAUGAUCUAGAAGAUUCGAUAUGUUUUUGCUGUGAAUUACCAUCUGAUUCCUUUUAUACAACUGUAUUCGGAUUUGUGGAUUGUUGAUUUGCCUCAGGGAGAAGAACUACGUGAUGAACAUAUGAACGGAGUGUUAUUCUUGUUUGCUGGAUUAAAAUUAUGAUUUUCUCUACGUAAGUGUGUGGCGAUUUUUUUUUUCUGGAUGAUCGCUGAAUUGAAGAUCUUUUCCGAUCUGGAAGUUUGGUUGAGCUCUUCUAAUUUGUUGAUCUGUUCUGUUACGGUACUGUGUUGUUGAGCAUGACCUCUUUGUUUUCACGGAACUGUUUUCCUGAUUGUUCAGGCGAGAUCUCGAUUGUGAACGUUUGCUUUUUGUCGGUGAUUGGAGGAUGAUUCUGCUGCUUCCUAGAUCCGAAGAAACUGGAACUUCUCCUAUUCUUCAACUAUUGAUCUUAUGUAUAGAGAUUUAGCUACGGUUCUUCUUGUCGAACAUGGCUUUUCUUUUACGGGACUGUUUUCCUGAUUAUUCGGGCGAGAUCUAGAUUGUGAACGCUUGCUUUCUGUUUGUGAUUGGAGGAUGAAUUCUGCUUUUGCCUAGAUCUGAAGAAACCGAGAACACUAUCCCUAAAACUUCUAUUCUUCGACUGUUCUUAUCAUUAUUAUUGUAGAGGGAUUUAGCUUCGGUUUUGCUUUGUUUGCAGUGUAUUUGGGAGGUUGGAGAUUUGUAAAUCCGGAGAUAUUGGAAAGAAUUUUCUGCAAUUUUCGACAUGGACGACUAGAUAUCUAAUUCCUUAAAACAGAACAGAUCCUCUACUUUUACCCUUUUUUAAAUUCAAUUAUAAAUCAUGCAUAUGAAUUAAAAUGUGAAUCUAUAUUCUAUGCAGCGUUGUCCAUCUUGAAGCGUGGUUGUUUUGAGUGCGACACAUACAGAGGAUAGAGACCAAGAACAGUUUUUCUAAACUUUCUUUCCUUGCAGUUUUUUUCCCCAACCUACUGUGCUAGCAUUGUGAAUUAAAAUGUGGAUGUGUUUCCUAUGCAGUGUUGUCUGAUCCUGGUCGAUAUGUUUCCUGCACUUGCCUGGUUCAUUUGUUUAAGUUUUGUUCUUUUUUUUUUUAAAAUUUAAAUAAUUGGCUUUAGUUCUUUGUUAUUUCCUUUAUAAUCCUGUCUUUCUUGGAAAUCGGUUUAUGUUUCUCUUUUCUGCCUUAGGAGCCAAUUGAAGGAUAUGGGAUUGCACUUAGGCGAUGUGGCCAAGAUUCUGAAAUUGAUAAUUCCCUCCUAACAUAUGCAUCAAUUUUUUUUAGUAUUAAAUAAUAGUUUGAUUACGGAGUUAUCUUGUUUAUGUCCUGCAAUGCUUUAAAUUGGUUGCAGAAAUCUGGAAUAAUGGAUAGAAGAUAUAUGGCAGGAAGGCUCAAAAUAAUACAGGCUCAUAAUCUGAUUAACUCUCCUUUUUUAACUGUCUUGCGUUAAUGGUCAUGCAAAAUUAAAUUUGAACUUGUUCUCUUGCAGUGCUAUCGUUUUGGUCAAGUAACAUUGUACCUGGAGUUUGGACGCACUGGAUCUCUUGUCUCUUGGUUUUUUUUUUAUGUUUUUGCUAGUUCAUAUGCAUAAGUAUGCAGAUAUCAAUUGAAUUUUGUCUGUUCAUUUGCAGUGUUGUCUUCCAAUCAUACUUUUGGCAACAGGCAUUCAUGUAUUAUGGUGACUUCUAACUGGCUUUAGUGUUCUCUGUGUCUAGUGUAUUGUUCCUGUGCAUUUCAUUUCUUUGAUGUUCUUCAUAUUGCUUGGGGAGGAGUGUUCUUUAUAUGUUUUUCCUGUGAAUUUCUAUCUAGUCUAUAGAACUGCUCUUGGAUUUGUGGAUUUUGGAUUUACUUAGCUGCUGAUCGCUUCUUUCUGGAUUUGAUAAUCUUGGGAAUGGUUACAGUUUCACACAGUUUCACAGGGAAAAGAACCAGGCGAUGAACAUAUGGACAGGGUGCUAUUCUUGUUUGCUGGAUUGGAAUUGUGAUUUUCUCUCUUCAGGUGUAGCGAAUUAUGUGGAUGAUGUGUGUGUUGGCUUCGUUUAAGAUCUUUCCUGACCUGGAACUUUGGUUGAGCUUUUCUAAUUUGAUGAACUGGUUCGGGGAUAGUGUAUUCGGGAGAUUGGGAAUUGUAGAUUGGAGAUAUUGGAAAGAAUAUUUUGCAAGACCCGAGGACCAUACAUCUAAUUCCAUAAAAGCAAUCUGAUUCUCUAUACAUUUUAUUUCCUUGCUCAUUUAACUAAAUAUUAAAGCAUGCAUUGUGAAUUAAAAUGUAGUUUAUAUUCUAUGCAGCAUGGUCGAACAUGGCUUUUCUUUUGCGGGACUGUUUUCCUGAUUAUUCAGGCGAUCUAGAUUGUGAACGGUUGCUUUCUGUUGGUGAUUGGAGGAUGAAUUCUGCUUUUGCAGAGAUCCGAAGAAACCGAGAACAUAUUCUUGCUUUUCCCCCCCUAAAACUUCUAUUCUUCAACUGUUCUUAUCGUUAUUAUUGUUGGGGGAUUUAGCUUUGGUUUUGCUUGGUUUGCAGUGUAUUUGGGAGGUUGGAGAUUUGUAGAUUGGAGAUAUUGGAAAGAAUUUUCUGCAAUUUUCGAUAUCACGAUAUGGAUGACUAGAUAUCUAAUUCCGUAAAACAGAACAGAUCCUCUACUUUUACCCUUUUUUAGAUUCAAUUAUAAAUAAAUUAUAAAUCAUGCAUGUGAAUUAAAAUGUGAAUCUAUAUUCUAUGCAGCGUUGUCCAUCUUGAAGCGUGGUUGUUGAGUGUGACACAUACGGAGGAUAGAGAUCAAGAACAGUUUUGCUAAAGUUUUUCCCUGCAUUUUUUUUCCAAACCUACUGUGGCAGCACUGUGAAUUAAAUGUGGAUAUGCUUCCUAUGCAGUCUUGUCUGAUCUUGUUACCGCGGGUGUUGAGUACAUCCUGGUUGAUAUGUUUCUUGCACUUGCGUGGUUCAUUUGUUUAAGUUUUGCUCUUUUUUUUUAAUUUAAAUUAUUGGCUGCUUUGGUUCUUUGUUGUUUCCUUUAUAAUUCUGUCUCUUGGAAAUCGGUUUAUGUUUCUCUUUUUUGCCUUAGGAGCCAAUUGAAGGAUAUGGGAUUGCACUUAGGCGAUGUGUCCAAGAUUCCGAAAUUGAUAAUUCCCUCCUAACAUAUGCACUAAUUUUUUUUAGUAUUAAAUAAUAGUUUGAUUACGGAGUUAUCUUUUUAAUGUCCUGCAAUGCUUUAAAUUGGUUGCAGAAAUCUGGAAUAAUGGAUAGAAGAUAUAUGGCAGGAAGGCUCAAAAUAAUACAGGCUCAUAAUCUGAUUAACUUUUCGUUUUUAACUAUCUUGCGUUAAUGGUCGUGCAAAAUUAAAUUUGAACUUGUUCUCUUGCAGUGUUAUUGUUUUGGUCAAGUAAUAUUGUGUAGCUGGUGACCUUGUACCUGGAGUUUGGAUGCACUGGAUCUGUUGUCUCUUGGUUUUUUGUUUUUUUUGUUAGUUCAUAUGCAUUAGUAUGCAGAUAUCAAUUGAAUUUCGUCUGUUCAUUUUCAUUGUUGUCUUCCAAUCAUACUUUUGGCAACGGCAUUCAUGUAUAAUGGUGACUUCUAACUGGCUUUAGUGUUCUUUGAUCUGUUUUUCCUGUGAAUUUCUAUCUAGUUUACAGAACUGUUCUUGGAUUUGUGGAUUUUGGAUUUACUUAGCUGCUGAUCAAGAUGCUUCUUUCUGGAUUCGAUAAUUUUGGGAAUGGUUGUAGUUUCAACACAGUUUCACAGGGAAAAGAACCAGGCGAUGAACAUAUGGACAGGGUGUUAUUCUUGUUUGUUGGAUUGGAAUUGUGAUUUUCUCUCUUCGGGUGUAGCGAAUUAUGUGGAUGAUGUGUUGGCUUCAUUUAUGAUCUUUACUGACCUGGAAGUUUGGUUGAGCUUUUCUAAUUUGAUGAUCUGGUUCAGGGAUAGGUUUGAACAUGGCUUUUCUUUCAUGCAGCUGUUCUGUUGAUUGUUAAGGCGACAUUAUCUGGAUUAUGAAUGCUUGCUUUUUUGUUGGUGUUUGGAGGAUGAAUUCUACUUUUCCCCAGAUCUGAAGAAACUGAGAACUCUCUGAAUCCUUGUUUUCUCUGAAAAUUCUCCUAUUCUGUACUGUUCUUAUUCCCGGAGAGAUUUAGAUUUGCUUGUCUUUGCUUGGUUUGCAGUGUAUUUAGGAGAUUGGGAAAUGGGAAUUGUAGAUUGGAGAUACUGGAAAGAAUAUUUUGCAAGACCCAAGGACCAUAUAUCUAAUUCCAUAAAAGCAAUCUGAUUCUCUAUACAUUUUAUUUCCCUGAUCAUUUAACUAACUAGAGCAUGCAUUGUGAAUUAAAAUGCAGUUUAUAUUCUAUGCAGCAUUGUAGCCUGGUUUUUGAGCACGAAGCAUACCGUGGAUGGAAUCUAGUUUCCUAAAACAGUUUUUCGAACUCUUCUUUCCUUUUUGUUCAUUUCAACCUACUGUGCUUAGCAGCAUUUGAAUUAAAUGUUGUUUGUUUCCGGUGCAGUGUGUUCCGAUCAUUGGUGUUGAGUGCAUCCUGGUGAUAUGUUUUUGCACUUGCCUGGUUCAUUUGUUUAAUUUUUGCUUUUUUUUUUAAUUUUAAAUUUGCUACUGUGGGUUAUUUCCUUCGUUAUUCUCUCGUGCUUGGAAAUCAGUUUUUGUUUCUCUUUUCCUUAGGAACUGAUUAAAGGGUAUGGGAUUGCACCGAGACUGUUCAAGAUUCCGAUAUUGAUAUGUCCUUGUUAUAUUAUUCUUUUUUCUUUCUAUCCCCUAAAUAUUAUAAAAGUAACUUGAUUAUAUAGUUGUUUCACGUUGUUUAUGACCUCCAAUGCUUUUCAUUGGUUGCAGUUAUUUAGAAUUUUGGAAAAAGAAGAUAUGAUUUGGAAAAAAAGCUCUGCAAAAAUAAUACAGGCUCACGAUCUAGAUUAAACAUGUCUUCUCUACUGAAUUUUUCUGCCAUAUUUAUUUUUUAGCAUUAAUGGUUUGUGCAAAGUUCAAUUUGAACCUGUUUUCUUGCACUGUUACGAUCGUUAACAUUAUCCGUGUAAUCGAGUUAGAUGUGGAGUUGGUGACUUCUACUCGAGUUUGAAUGCCCUGGUCUUUUCUAUUUAUUUCUUCUAUUUUUUCCGUGUAUUUAGUAUGAACAUGUCAAUUCCUGUUCCUUUGCAGUGUUGUCUUCCAAUUGAUACCUUCGACUACUAUACUCAUAUGCACAGGGGGCUAUUCUUGUUUGCUGGAUUGGAAUUGUGAUUUUCUCUCUUCGGGUGUAGCGAAUUAUGUGGAUGAUGUGUUGGCUUCAUUUAAGAUCUUUCCUGACCUGGAAGUUCGGUUGAGCUUUUCUAUUUUGAUGAUCUGGUUCAGGGAUAGUUGUGUUGUUUGAACACAUGGCUUUUCUUUCAUGCAGCUGUUCUGUUGAUUGUUAAGGCGACAUUAUCUGGAUUAUGAAUGAUCGCCUUUUUGUUGGUGUUUGGAGGAUGAAUUCUACUUUUGCCCAGAUCUGAAGAAACUGAGAACUCUCUGAAUCCUUGCCUUUUUCUGAAAAUUCUAUGCAGCUGUUCUGUUGAUUGUUAAGGCAAUAUUAUCUGGAUUAUGAAUGCUCGCUUUUUGUUGGUGUUUGGAGGAUGAAUUCUACUUUUGCCCAGAUCUGAAGAGACUGAGAACUCUUUGAAUCCUUGCUUUUUCUAAAAAUUCUCCUAUUCUGUACUAUUCUUAUUCUCGGAGAGAUUUAGGUUUGCUUGUUUUUGCUUGGUUUGCAGUGUAUUUGGAAGAUUGGGGAUAUUGGAAAGAAUAUUUUGCAAGACCCGAGCACCAUAUAUCUAAUUCCAUAAAAGCAAUCUGAUUCUCUAUACAUUUUAUUUCCUUGAUCAUUUAACUAAAUACUUUAAACCAUGCAUUGUGAAUUAAAAUGUAGUUUAUUUUCUAUGCAGCAUUGUAGCCUGGUUGUUGAGCACGAUGCAUACAGUGGAUGGAAUCUAGUUUCCUAAAACAGUUUUUCGAAACUCUUCUCUCCUUUUUGUUCAUUCCAACCUACUGUGCUAGCAGCAUUUGAAUUAAAUGUCGUUGGUUUCCUGUGCAGUGUUGUCCGAUCAUGGGUGUUGAGUGCAUCCUGGUGAUAUGCUUUUGCACUUGGCUGGUUCAUUUGUUUAAUUUUUGCUUUUUUAAUACUUUGUGUUGUUUCCUUCGUUAGUCUCUCGUGCUUGGAAAUCGGUUUUUGUUUCUCUUUUCCUUGGGAACCAAUUGAAGGGUAUGGGAUUGCACCGAGACUGUUCAAGAUUCCGAGAUUGAUAUGUCUUUGUUAUAUUAUUCUUUUUUCUUUCUAUCCCCUAAAUAUUAUAAAAAUAAUGUGAUUAUGUAGUCGUUUCACUUUUGUGACCUCCAAUGCUUUACAUUGGUUGCAGCGAUUUAGAAUUUUGGAAAAGAAGAUAUGAUUUGGGAAAAAAGCUCUGCAAAAAUAAUACAGGCUCCUGAUCUAGAUUAAACUUGUCUUCUCUACUGAAUUUUUCUUCCAUAUUUAUUUUUUAGCAUUAAUGGUUCGUGCAAAGUUCAAUUUGAACCUGUUUUCUUGCAGUGCUACGAUCGUUAACAUUGUCCUUUGUAAUCGAGUUACAUGCGGAGUUGGUGACUUCUACCUGGAGUUUGAAUGCCCUGGAUCUUUUCUAUCCCCUAAAUAUUAUAAAAAUAAUGUGAUUAUGUAGUCGUUUCACUUUUGUGACCUCCAAUGCUUUACAUUGGUUGCAGCGAUUUAGAAUUUUGGAAAAGAAGAUAUGAUUUGGAAAAAAAGCUCUGCAAAAAUAAUACAGGCUCCUGAUCUAGAUUAAACUUGUCUUCUCUACUGAAUUUUUCUUCCAUAUUUAUUUUUUAGCAUUAAUGGUUCGUGCAAAGUUCAAUUUGAACCUGUUUUCUUGCAGUGCUACGAUCGUUAACAUUGUCCUUUGUAAUCGAGUUACAUGCGGAGUUGGUGACUUCUACCUGGAGUUUGUGAAUGCCCUGGAUCUUUUCUCUCGUCUCUUUUAUUUUCUUUCCAUGUAGUAUGAACAUGUCAAUUCCUGUUCCUUUGCAGUGUUGUCUUCCAAUCGAUACUUUUGACUACCAUACUAAUUCAUAUGGUGACUUCUACCUCGGUAUAGCAGUUUGUGAUUUGUUCUUCAUGAUUUUGACUGAGUUUUGAGAAUGAUGAUAGGCCCAACCUGUUGUUCCCUCAUCCUAGUUGUUGACACACUUUCAAGAUAGGACAGUAAGCGUUUAUUGAGCAUAUGCUGACUGUAUCAUAUAUAAUCAAUUUUGCUUUUUAUCGCUUUUUAUUUUUGACCCAGCACAUAAAAGUUAUUGGAUUCGAUAACACGAAUUGUAUAGUUGUUUGUGCUUCCAGUUAUCUCUGAGCAGAAUCAGAGUGUAUCGGUUAUCGGUUCUGGGGUGUUAUCAGUUCUCAGUCUCGCUAAUAAGGAUAAGAGGAUUUGAUUUUAGUUCUUUUUUUGGUGUUGUUUUCUCUUUGGAUGAGGUAUUUGAAUUGAAUUGUGAACAUGCUUUUGUGGUGUUAAACGAUUGUGUAUUGGAGAUUAACUUUGGGGGUUCAGGAGCAAAUUUUGUCUACACAUAGUUUUCCCAACUCAAUUUUGCCAUUUGUUCUCACGUUGUGUUUUUGUUUGAUCUGGUCUUCCAUCAGUUUGACAAGCUGUUUCUUUCAUUUAUUUUCAGCUUUCUGCAUAUGCGUUUGCUAUAAUUGGUCACACUACCCGUAAUUGGAGAAUUUUGCUUGAACGCUGUGAGGGUGCUGAAAAAACUGUUGUAGAUUGUUGUGCUGGCCUUAAACUGUUCUUGCAUGUGAAGUAUUGAAGGAUAUUCUGUUAUUAGGUUUUAACUUGUCUUGAUUUUACUUAACUACUAAGAGAAAAUGUAAAAAUGAUGUCUUUGAUUUCACUUUCUAUUAGGCACAUUGCAACUAUCAUUUUGUUUUUUGUGCAUAACUAGAAACUUCUUUUCUGUUCAUCUCUUUCAAUCUUCCAUGUCUGAGUACCAUGUGUUUGGCAGCAUCUGGAAAUUGUAAGUCGACUUUGAAAUAUUGAAGGACCUCUUCUUGGAUGGUUUAACUAGGAUUUUGUACCCAAAUGAGUGACUUCUGAAUGAUUUUCAAAUUUUCGUCCUAUAGUUUUUAAAGCUUCUCCUUGUCUGGAUUUUCAACUUAAUCUUGUCUUUUUUGUUCUACGUACGCAUAACUGGUGACUGGUUUUUCUGGAUCUUCACCUUAAUCAAUCUUGUUUUUCUACAGUUCAGUGUCUUAUGUUUGGCAGGAGCUGGGAUUUGCAAUUGGACUUUCUAUGGGUUUUAAGUAUUCAACCUAAACAUCACUUUGGCGUACUGAAGGAUUUAAGUAUAAUUGUGUGAUUUUUAAAACUGCUGCUUCUUUGUUUGAAUUUUCAAAAUUUUUCUCUUCCGUUCGGCUGGAUAAGAGAUUUGUAAUUGGACUUUGGGUGUUAAGGACGCAAGUAUAACUGAUGACUUUUAACUGGUUAUUAAUUUUUUUAUUUUUGGUGGAUUUUCACCAUAAUCUCUUCCAUUCUUCUAUGGUUCAGUGUCUUAUGUUUGGCAGGAGCUGGGGUUCAAUUUGGAGUAUCGAAGGAUUUAAAGUAUAACCGGGACUGAUUUUUAAAGCUUCUUUGUUUGGAUCUUCAACUUAAUUUUUCUUUUCCGUUUUUCUACGUUUGGCUUUCAUAUUCAGCAGGUUUAGGGAUUUGUAAUUGAAUUGGAAGUUUCCUCUUCCGAUCUUCAACGUUUGGCCAAUAUAUUCAGCAGGUUUAAAUGUUGAAGGAUCUAAGUGUAACUGGUGACUUCUAACUGGUUAUUAAAACUUGUUUUUUGGGUUUAUCUCUCUCCCUCUCUCUUGUUCUUCUAUGGUACUGUCUUGUGUUUGGUAGGGAUUUGCAAUUGGAAUUUAAAUGUUCAACUCGACGUCACUUUGGAGUAUUGAAGGAUUUGAGUAUAUCUGGGCCGGGCUUUUAAAGCUUUUGUUUGGAUCUAUAUUAAAAGCUUUUUCUUUCUCUGGAUUUUUAACUGGACUUUUCUCUCUCUCUCUCCUAACAUUUGGCACUCAUUCAGCAGUAUCUGGGAUCUGUAAAUGGAUUUUGGUCUUGAAGGACCUAAGUAUAACUGGUGACUUUUAACUGGUUAUUAUAAUUUUUCUGUAUUUUCACCUUAAUCUUGUCCAUUCUUCUAGUUAUAUUUGGCAGGAGCUGGGAUUUGCAUUUGGAUUUUAAAUGUUCAACUUAACAUAUCUUUCGACUUCCUAUGGGUUUUAAAUAUUCAGCUUACCAUCUCACUUCAACUUGACCUCUCUUUCGACUUUCUAUGGGUUUUAAAUAUUCAGCUCACCACCUCACUUCCUUCUGUGGUUUUAAAUAUUUAGCAUACCAUCACUUUGGAUUUACAGUACAACUGGUGACUUCUAUUCCCCCCUUUCAAAAAAAAUAAAAAAAGAACACCACACAGAAACAGAAGAAUACAUUAGAUCCACUCACGUCUAUUCUACAUCUGUGAAUCGCCCCUUUUCUGCUUAUUGAUUGCAUGUCAGUUUUUGUCUGGAUUACUUUUACAUUUAUUUUCAAUGCAGGAUCUUAAGGUGAUCAGAUACACCCGGUUAGACAUGGUUUUUUGUUUCGUGUUAUGAUUAUAUGCUUCUUAGUUUUUGAAGAUCUCUUUUCAGUUCUUUAUGUGAUUUGUCAAGUUAGUAGAAUUCUUUGUGAAAAUACCUCUGGAAUUCAUAAUAUAGGUUAGCACGGUAAGUUACUCAAGUUUGAAAUGGAAAUGAUGCUCUUACCUCAGGUGAAUUUUGGUGAGGGAAUGUUUUACUAGGGAUUUGGAUAUUACCGUGGUAGCAAAGGGUUCAGGAAUUUUUUGUUAUUUAUUUAAUUCAUGAUGAAUUACGAAGGUUUUUUUUAUCAAGGUUUACUAUCAAUUUGCGAACUUGCUUUUGUGCAGUUCGCGGAUCCCCUUUUUGGCUGAUUUCUAUCUUGGGGGAACGAAGAUCACAAUGGCAUUCAGGAGUUGGUGGCUGUUUCUGAAAUCUGAAUUUUUCUGAUAUGCCUAUUGUAUUUUUCUCGUUUGGGAGAAUUGUGGACCAACUUCUGUGCUGUUCGAGCGUGUACUCUGGAUAAUUGGUUUUAAUUCUUUGAUUCAUGUCUCUCGGUCUCGCAUCUAUAUUGUUAUUUGAUAUCUGUAGCCUGGUGGUGAAGAUACUUUCCAUCUGCAAAUGUAGUGGUUGCUGUAGUAUGCCAUGGUUCAAGUGCAUCCCUCAUCUUCUCUAGCAGAAGUAGUAAAAGCAGAAUGAUGUUUUUAAGAUCUGCAUUUUCUGCUCACCUGUGUUUUUCACUUUUGUCUUGGAAAGCUGUUUCAUAUUUUUCGUGGAUUUGUUUAUGAAAUUUGUUUUACUGGCCCUUGUAAGUAGCGCUUGUGUGUGUUUAUUCUUAAACUUCUGACACACUACAGAAUGGUUGGUGCUAAUGGGUGGUUGUUACAGGUCAACUUCUAUGCCUUUGAAGUAACAUUCUUGUGCAGUUCUCUCUCGCAGCUUUGCAGUAAAUUUUAUGUAUAUCUUCUAUUCCAAUGAUUUUUUGGGAUUUGGAUUUCUAGAUCUGGAUGGGUGGUAGUGUCUUCAUGCAGUUUGUUAUGUGAUCUAGGGCAUUUUUUAUAUGUUCCUGAUGGUUUCUUUUACGGGGUGUGCGCUAGCUGAUAUGCAUUGUUUGACUGAAUGGCUACUACGAAGGUAUUUCGGAGGCUCUCUGAUCAGUGCUAAAAUAAAUGCUGCAAUGUACUUUUAUGCGAUGUUGUUCAACUAUUGUUAUUCUCAUUUUGGGAGGAUAAUCAAUUAACUUUAGUUUUAAUUCGUUGCUUUCUGGAAUGCCUGGUGACCUUUUGAAGGUGGAUUUUGCAAUAACUGAUGCGACGUUAUCGAAGAUUAUUGAUGGUUCAGUUCUGUUGCUUAGCUGCUUUGGUGUAUGUGUUCGCAUAGCUCCAAUAUUUUGUCGUCCUUGUGUAUAUACAUGCUGAUCUAUUCAAAUGGUCUCGGAGUGGCAUCAUGGAGGAAGAUUUGCCAACAACCAAGAAAAAUGGUUUAGCCGUUUAAUCUUUUCUGUUUUCACCGUCUAUUGCAAAGAUUGUACUGUGGAUUCUUGAUUUCUUAGAGUGGAAUGCUUUUAUUAUUGUUCCCGUGGAUGUAGGUGUAGGUCAUUUGACCGAACCACGUAAAUUCCCUGGUCUUCUUUCCCUGCUACUGGACUAAUUAUUUUAUGCGUUUCGGUGGCUGAGAGCAUCAAGUUAAAUAGUAAAAUUGAACAGGCGAUGUUCGUAAAUUCGUAAUUGAGAUUCUAGAGAUGCAAAGUGCACUUGCAAACUGAUAUUGGUGUAACGUCAAUUUAGUAAGAUAAAAACCAAGUUUAAUAACCGCUGAACAAUAAUCCAAUGGUAAGAUAUAUUGAAUUCGCGACACUCUCAAAAAAACUCGUAACUUUGGUAGCAAUUCUAGCGGUGAUGGUCUGACCAAGAUAAAAUUCUACUUCGAAUAAAAUCUUACUUCGAAGUAGGCUAAAUCAUUAAUUUUUUUCCCAAAAAUUUUUAAAUUUAUCCUCGUUCAGUUCCUGCUGUCGGCACCACUAUCUUUCAGCUACCAACUCCACUUCAUCUCUCA